RNAcentral lists this small nucleolar RNA (118 nucleotides) under Arabidopsis thaliana (thale cress). RNAcentral's name for it is "JKHR12C1". The stretch from base 3 to 90 matches the Rfam family "Plant small nucleolar RNA SNOR75". From Rfam's summary of the family: U15 is a member of the C/D class of snoRNA which contain the C (UGAUGA) and D (CUGA) box motifs. Lineage: Eukaryota; Viridiplantae; Streptophyta; Magnoliopsida; Brassicales; Brassicaceae. The record is from RNAcentral.
GGGCUCAGUGAUGAAGGAACAAUAGAUGACGAGUCCGAUGAAAUCCAUUCAUUAAAUCAUGGGGACAAACGAGGCAUUUGCCUGAGAAGAAAAAANAAAAUUAUAAAAAAAAAAAAAA